This is a transfer RNA of 89 nucleotides. It matches the Rfam family "tRNA". Rfam says of the family: Transfer RNA (tRNA) molecules are approximately 80 nucleotides in length. Their secondary structure includes four short double-helical elements and three loops (D, anti-codon, and T loops). The record is from Rfam.
CCUUCGAUAGCUCAGUUGGAAGAGCGUGAGACUGUAACUGGAUAUAUGAGCGCAUCUCAAGGUCACUGGUUCGAUCCCGGUUCGAAGGA